RNAcentral lists this ribosomal RNA (253 nucleotides) under uncultured bacterium. RNAcentral's name for it is "partial 16S ribosomal RNA". It matches the Rfam family "Bacterial small subunit ribosomal RNA", at positions 524 to 776 of the family's 1533-position model. The record is from RNAcentral.
UACAGAGGUCUCAAGCGUUGUUCGGAUUCAUUGGGCGUAAAGGGUGCGUAGGUGGCGCUGUAAGUCGGGUGUGAAAUUUCGGAGCUUAACUCCGAAACUGCAUUCGAUACUGCGGUGCUUGAGGACUGGAGAGGAGACUGGAAUUCAUGGUGUAGCAGUGAGAUGCGUAGAGAUCAUGAGGAAGACCAGUGGCGAAGGCGGGUCUCUGGACAGUUCCUGACACUGAGGCACGAAGGCCAGGGGAGCAAACGGG